GCUCCUUACACAAAGCUCUCUUAUGAAAGAAUAAAGAGUAUAUAUUAUGUACAAGCCUUUCUUGGUAGCCCCUGUUAAGCAUCCUAUUAAUUAUAAGUGUGUGUAUGUAAGGUAAUGCAUCAUGAGACUUUUAUGCAUGCUCUCUCUUAAAUAGCUAUGCCUUUCCUAUAUGUAACAUAACAUGAAACACUCUUUUCAAAGAAAUGCAUAUGCAUUUGGACUAAGGAAAGAUAAUGAAAAUGUUUGACU
Molecule: long non-coding RNA, 249 nt
Organism: Juglans microcarpa x Juglans regia
Lineage: Eukaryota; Viridiplantae; Streptophyta; Magnoliopsida; Fagales; Juglandaceae
Exons: 2
Source: RefSeq, a predicted model, not a curated record